CCUACGGGAGGCUGCAGUGAGGAAUAUUGGUCAAUGGACGAGAGUCUGAACCAGCCAAGUAGCGUGAAGGAUGACUGCCCUAUGGGUUGUAAACUUCUUUUAUAAAGGAAUAAAACGAGGCACGUGUGCCUUUUUGCAUGUACUUUAUGAAUAAGGAUCGGCUAACUCCGUGCCAGCAGCCGCGGUAAUACGGAGGAUCCGAGCGUUAUCCGGAUUUAUUUGGUUUAAAGGGAGCGUAGAUGGGUUGUUAAGUCAGUUGUGAAAGUUUGCGGCUCAACCGUAAAAUUGCAACUGAUACUGGCAGUCUUGAGUACAGUUGAGGUAGGCGGAAUUCGUGGUGUAGCGGUGAAAUGCUUAGAUAUCACGAAGAACCCCGAUGGCGAAGGCAGCUUACUAAACUGUGACUGACAUUGAUGCUCGAAAGUGUGGGUAUCAAACAGGAUUAGAUACCCGUGUAGUC
RNAcentral lists this ribosomal RNA (460 nucleotides) under uncultured bacterium. RNAcentral's name for it is "partial 16S ribosomal RNA". It matches the Rfam family "Bacterial small subunit ribosomal RNA", at positions 338 to 795 of the family's 1533-position model. The record is from RNAcentral.